UACGUAGGCAGCGAGCGUUGUUCGGAAUUACUGGGCGUAAAGAGUGUGUAGGUGGUGCUCUAAGUUUGGUGUGAAAUCUCCCGGCUCAACCGGGAGGGUGCAUCGAAAACUGGAGUGCUAGAGGAUGGGAGAGGCAAGCGGAAUUCCUGGUGUAGCGGUGAAAUGCGUAGAUAUCAGGAGGAACACCUGUGGUGUAGACAGCUUGCUGGACCAUUUCUGACACUGAGACACAAAAGCGUGGGUAGCAAACAGG
RNAcentral lists this ribosomal RNA (253 nucleotides) under uncultured bacterium. RNAcentral describes it as "partial 16S ribosomal RNA". It matches the Rfam family "Bacterial small subunit ribosomal RNA", at positions 524 to 776 of the family's 1533-position model. The record is from RNAcentral.